This 253-nucleotide ribosomal RNA is filed under the name uncultured bacterium. RNAcentral's name for it is "partial 16S ribosomal RNA". It matches the Rfam family "Bacterial small subunit ribosomal RNA", at positions 524 to 776 of the family's 1533-position model. The record is from RNAcentral.
UACGUAGGGUGCGAGCGUUGUCCGGAAUUACUGGGCGUAAAGAGCUCGUAGGUGGUUUGUCGCGUUGUCCGUGAAAACUCACAACUCAAUUGUGGGCGUGCGGGCGAUACGGGCAGACUGGAGUACUGCAGGGGAGACUGGAAUUCCUGGUGUAGCGGUGGAAUGCGCAGAUAUCAGGAGGAACACCGGUGGCGAAGGCGGGUCUCUGGGCAGUAACUGACGCUGAGACGCGAAAGCAUGGGGAGCAAACAGG